Molecule: ribosomal RNA, 776 nt
Filed under: uncultured Neocallimastigales
Lineage: Eukaryota; Fungi; Neocallimastigomycota; Neocallimastigomycetes; Neocallimastigales
Description: partial large subunit ribosomal RNA
Rfam family: Eukaryotic large subunit ribosomal RNA
Source: RNAcentral
UAUCUCUGUAGAGUCUGCAUAUCAAUAAGCGGAGGAAAAGAAACUAACAAGGAUUCCCUUAGUAACGGCGAGUGAAGCGGGAAGAGCUCAAAUUUGAAAUCUUCAAGGUUUUACCUUGACGAAUUGUAGCUUAAAGAAGUGUUUUCUGUUGAAGUUUCGGUAAAAGUUCUUUGGAAUAGGACAUCAUAGAGGGUGAGAAUCCCGUAUUUGACCGUUAUUUUCAGCUGUGUGAUACACUUUCAAAGAGUCGGAUUGUUUGGGAAUGCAGUCCAAAAUGGGUGGUAAAUUUCAUCUAAAGCUAAAUAUUGGCGAGAGACCGAUAGCGAACAAGUACCGUGAGGGAAAGAUGAAAAGAACUUUGAAAAGAGAGUUAAACAGUACGUGAAAUUGUCAAAAGGGAAGCGUUUGACACCAGUGUUGUUUUCUCGAAAAUCAAUUAAAAAUGGCUUGAUUUUGUGUUGUAUUGACCUUAAAAGCUUUCUGCACCUUUUUCAUGUCUUUUUUAAUGCACUUUUCGUUUAACAAGUCAACAUCAGUUUCUUUUGUUGUAAAAAGGUCAUUGGAAGGUGGCUUUCUUUUCGGAGAAAGUGUUUAUAGCCUUUGACUCCUGCAAUCGGAGAGACUGAGGUCUGCAGCGUAGAUCCUUCUUGGAUUAGAUUCAUUUGUGCUAAGUUAUAGCUUUUUAUAGACAACUUGUUGACUAUAUUUAGUCUUGUAGCUUACUCGCUUAUGUUAAUUUUACCUACGCUUAGGAUGUUGAACGCGCACAGAGUCUC